RNAcentral lists this long non-coding RNA (5528 nucleotides) under Brassica rapa (field mustard). Its description in RNAcentral is "long non-coding RNA (BRAP_LNC008369)". The record is from RNAcentral. Lineage: Eukaryota; Viridiplantae; Streptophyta; Magnoliopsida; Brassicales; Brassicaceae.
GGAAGUGAUGGGGUAUAAGGAAGCAUUAUGAGAAGGAUGUGUUAAGGAAAGGAUGAGGUAUGAGGUCGACCAGUCCGUACAAUCCGUACUGACCGUACUGGCCGUACAGGCCGUACAUUCUCGGGUCGACCCAUCAUCAACCAAAACUUACCAUCCUUACCCAAGUUACUUUGGAGAGUUACCUUGAGUGUUAAGGAGGCUUAUGACCAUUGAAGGGAAGAAAGGAGACGCGGAGAAGACAGGCUGGCAUAGCUGUAAAGUAAUCAGCAUCUUGGAAUAUGCUGAAAGUGUGUGAAGCAAUCCAUUGGCUAGUUCAAACCAUCCGCUCCCUUUAGCUUUGACUACACAUGCUUUGCCUUAUCUCUUAUGCUGAAACCCUAGUCUUUCCUUUGCUAUAUAUUGUAAACUCUGCCUUGAUUAAUAUUAACACACGAGUUUAUGAGUCUCUCUCUCUAGUUCAUCAUGAUAAUCUCAUACACUUUCUCUUAAACACUCUAAUCUCUCUUGAAUCUCUCUUAGACUUCUCAAUACCUUUCAUAUUCUCUAAAGUCAUAUGGUAUCAGAGCCAGGUUGGCUGUGGUAUUGAGAUCGUGUGUUCUUCAGCUUCAGAUAAAAGUUCUUUCUUGUGAGAUUCUAAACCAAGUCCAAGCAAAUCAAGAUGGGAGGAAACAAGGUGAUUACGGUUCCGAUUUCACUCAAGGGUGGGGGAAACUACCUGUUGUGGUCUAGGCUUGUGAAGACAGCCAUUGGGAGGCUAGGGUUAUGGGGUCACAUCACAGAUGAAGCUCCAGCACCAGUGGCCAGUGAGGAAGAAGGUGGAAGAGAGCUCGCGGUUGCUGAUGGAAAGAAGUGGAUUCAAGAUGACUUGAUGGUGCUAUCUGUGCUGCAAGGAUCUCUUGAAGAACAUCUCUUGGAAGCCUACAGCUACUGUGAGACUCCAAAACACCUGUGGGAGGUACUCCAAAAGACUUUUGGGAACGUUACCAAUCUGAACCGUGUGUAUGAGAUCAAGAAAGCUAUCAACACACUGGUACAAGAUGGAGAGGAGUUCACCAAGCAUUUGGGCAAGUAUAGAUCCUUGUGGUCUGAGCUUGAAUCAUUGAGGCCAAGCACGGCUGAUCAAGAGCUACUCAUGGAGAGGAGGGAGCAGGAUCAGGUGUUUGGAUUGCUGUUGACUUUGGAUCCUCCGUUCAAUGAUGUGAUCAAACACAUGUUGAGGAUGCCAAGUCUUCCAUCCAUGGAGGAAGUGUGUGCGCAGCUCCAGAAGGAGGAAGGGUCUCUUGGUCUCUUCGGAAGCAAGGGAGACUUAGCUCUAGCCAACAAGGCUGAGGAAGGAGCGCAAGCUAACCGUGCAGCAUACAAGACUGAUGAGAGGAAGUAUGGUGAUGAGAGGAGGUUUGGAGGCAACUGUGAUCACUGCAAGAAGCCGGGACACAAGAGGAGCCAGUGCUGGAUCCUUCAUCCCCAUCUCAAGCCGGCCAAGUUCAACAAGGAUCGAGAAGCCAGAGCUAACCUGUCUACUGAAGCAAGUGAAGCCGGUCCAUCAGGAGCAGGCUCAAGUGCACAAGUGGGUGAAAGCGCAGGCAAGGCAAUGGCAACUCACUACACGGCCGCAAAGAGUUUGGAGCAUGAAGUGAUCCGCAAAUCUGACAUUGAUGCCCUCAUCAAAGCUCUUAAGGAGUCUGGUACAUUCGGAAACACUCUUGGUUACUCUUAUACUGCUCAUAUGAUGCCUAGGAAUGAGAAUAGGUUGAUAGAUAUCAUUGAGAAAUUAAAACUGAGAAAUGAAUCACCUAGAACUCAUCUUGCUAGAGGCAUAAAACCAUUGAUUGUUGACUCUGGUGCAUCUCAUCACAUGAUUAGUGAUGAUAGCUUGAUCAAAAACAUAGAACCUGCUCAUGGUCAUGUAAUGAUUGCAAAUGGAGAUAGAAUUCCCAUUAAAGGUGUAGGAGACUUAAAGCUAUUUGAUAAGAACUCUAAAGCAUUUUACAUGCCUGAUUUUACUUCUAAUCUCUUAUCUGUUAAAAGAUGUACCAAUGAUCUACAAUGCAAUGUUAUCUUUAGUCCUAACAAUGUGACAUUUCAGGAUAUUGAGAGCAAUAAGUUGAUCGGACAAGGAGUAACCAAGGGGGAUCUUUAUGUACUUGAAGACAUUAACCCCAUUUCUAGUUGUUUGCUGAGUUCUGUUUUAAGUAAAGGUGCAUUAUGGCAUUCUAGGCUAGGACAUCCACAUGUUAGAGCCUUAAGCUUAAUGUUUCCAGGUGUCAUGUUUAAAAAUAAUGAUUGUGAGGCUUGUAUUUUGGGAAAACAUUGUAAGACUGUCUUUAAAAGAUCUACUACUAUCUAUGAUAAGUGUUUUGAUCUUGUUCACUCUGAUGUAUGGACUGCUCCCUGCUUAUCUAGAGAUAAUUACAAGUACUUUGUCACAUUUAUAGAUGAGAAAUCUAAAUACACCUGGAUAACACUCAUUAAAACAAAGGAUAGGGUUCUUGAUGCAUUUAAAAACUUCCAAUCUUAUGUAUCUAACCAGUAUAAUGCCAAGAUUAAGAUUUUCAGGUCUGAUAAUGGUGGAGAAUAUACUGGCAAUGCAUUCAAGAGUCACCUAGCUCAACAUGGGAUUCUACAUCAGACAAGUUGUCCAUACACUCCUCAACAGAACGGUGUAGCUGAGAGAAAGAAUAGACACCUAAUGGAGGUGGCAAGGUCUAUGAUGUUUCAUACAAGUGUGCCUAAGAGAUUCUGGAGUGAUGCUGUGAUCUCGGCUUGUUAUCUAAUCAAUAGGAUACCAACCAAGAUCCUGGAAGAUCAAGCUCCUUAUGAAGUUUUAAACAGAAGCAAACCUGUGCUGGAUCACUUAAGAGUCUUUGGAUGCGUGUGCUUUGUACUUGUACCCGGGGAGCUAAGGAAUAAGCUAGAAGCAAAGAGCACAAGAGCCAUGUUCAUUGGCUACUCAACGUCACAAAAGGGAUACAAAUGCUAUGAUUCAGAAGCCAGGAGAGUUCUUGUGUCUAGAGAUGUGAAGUUCUUGGAGGAUAAGAGCUUUUAUGGAGAUAGAAAGUGGGAAGAUCUUGAAGAUUUGUCUCAACCAUCUGAUCGAGCUACAAGUCUUAGGCGUGUUCUAGAAGGGCUUGGAAUCAACAUGUCCCAGGAUCAGCAACCAUCAAAGGAGAAUGAAGCUGAAGAACCAUCGCACCAUGAUCAUGAGGGGGGAAAUGAGGCUGAGCCUGAAGAUCAUGAAGAUCAAGACUCAGAUAGUCAUGGUCAAGGUGUGAUACAAAGAGAGGAAGAAUCCAUACAAGAAGAUCAUGUGGAACCAAUUGAACCAAAUGAAGUAGAAAGAGAAGCAGUUCAGCCUACGGAGGUGCAGCCUACGGUGGUGGAGGUGGAACAAGCCCCAUUAAGGAGAAGCACACGGCUGAAGAGAGAUGCUUCCAACUGGGUAAACACGAGAGUGUACUACAAUGCUCAAGCUGUGAAGCAUCCCUCUCAGGCUGUGUGCUCAUUUGCGAGCUACCCAAAGGAACAUUGUGCAUUCAUUACAAGCUUAGAUGAGAGCAGUGUACCAAGAUCAUAUGAAGAAGCAAUGUUACAUGAAGAUUGGAAAGAAUCAGUGGGUGAUGAAGCAAAUGCUAUGAUAAAGAAUGACACUUGGUUUGAAAGUGAGUUACCAAGAGGGAAGAAGGCAGUAACAAGCAAGUGGAUAUUCACUAUCAAGUAUCUACCUGAUGGAACUAUUGAGAGGAAGAAGACAAGACUGGUGGCUAGAGGAUACACUCAAACAUAUGGGGAAGACUACAUUGAUACCUUUGCCCCUGUUGCCAAACUCCAUACCAUAAGAAUUGUACUAUCUCUUGCUGUGAAUCUUGAGUGGGAGCUUUGGCAGAUGGAUGUGAAGAAUGCCUUUCUUCAAGGAGAGCUAGAGGAUGAAGUGUAUAUGUAUCCACCACCGGGUCUAGAGCACCUUGUGAAACCUGGAAAUGUAUUGAGACUCAAGAAGGCUAUCUAUGGGUUGAAGCAAUCUCCUAGAGCAUGGUAUAACAAGCUGAGCACUACCUUAAAUGGGCGUGGGUUCAAGAAGUCUGAAUUGGAUCACACUCUCUUCACUCUCACUACACCCUCAGGUAUCAUCUGUCUACUUGUAUAUGUUGAUGACAUUAUCAUAACAGGUAGUGAUAAGGCUGGUAUAAAAGCCACAAAGGAGUUUUUGAAAUCUGUGUUUGAAAUCAAAGACUUAGGAGAAAUGAAAUACUUCCUUGGAAUUGAGUUGUGUAGAUCUAAGGAAGGAUUGUUCAUUUCCCAAAGGAAGUACACACUUGAUCUUUUGAAAGAUGCAGGUAUACAAGGAGAUAAGACAGCAAAGAUGCCUCUUGAAGAUGGAUACAAGAUUCCACGUGAGGGGGAGAUUGAAGAUAGCAAGGCCUUUCAUGAUCCAAAGCUAUACAGGAAGCUAGUAGGGAAGCUCAUCUACCUCACCAUCACACGACCAGACAUUUGCUUUGCUGUGAACCAAGUGAGCCAGCAUAUGCAAGUUCCAAAGGAUCAUCACUGGCGCAUGGUGGAGAGACUGCUCUUGUAUCUGAACGGGACAUCAAGCCUUGGAGUUUGGAUGGGAUGCAACAAGAGUACUGAAGUAGUGGGAUAUUGUGAUGCGGAUUGGGCUGGAGAUAGAGCAGACAGAAGAUCAACCACUGGCUACUGUACAUUCAUUGGAGGCAACUUGGUGACUUGGAAGAGCAAGAAGCAGAAAGUGGUGUCUUGUUCAAGUGCUGAAGCUGAGUAUAGAGCAAUGCUGAAGCUUACCAAUGAGUUGGUAUGGAUCAAAGGGAUCUUGAAGCAUUUGGAGAUAGAGCAAGCAACUCCAAUGACUAUGCAUUGUGACAAUCAAGCGGCUAUACACAUUGCAACCAACUCAGUCUUCCAUGAGAGAACCAAGCACAUUGAAGUUGAUUGUCACAAGGUGAGGCAGAUGAUUGUCUUGGGAGUGAUCUUGCCAUGCUAUACAAGGAGUGAGGAUCAGUUAGCUGAUGUCUUUACCAAAGCCGCGAGACAGAAGACCAUGGAGUCCAUUCACAUCAGGCUAGGACUCCUGGAUCUCACACCAAGUGGCUGAGUCCCCUUAGCCAUGAGUUCUUCACUCUUUUUCCCUCAUCAAGGUUUUGUCCCAAUGGGUUUUCCUUGGUGAGGUUUUUAAUGAGGAAGAUCUCAUGGCUGUUCCAAGCUUGAAAGGAUUCUAGAAUUCAAGCUUGAGGGGGAGUGUUGAAAUGAGUUGAGUAUAAGCAAGGGAAGUGAUGGGGUAUAAGGCAGCAUUAUGAGAAGGAUGUGUUAAGGAAAGGAUGAGGUAUGAGGUCGACCAGUCCGUACAAUCCGUACUGACCGUACUGGCCGUACAGGCCGUACAUUCUCGGGUCGACCCAUCAUCAACCAAAACUUACCAUCCUUACCCAAGUUACUUUGGAGAGUUACCUUGAGUGUUAAGGAGGCUUAUGACCGUUGAAGGGAAGAAAGGAGACGCGGAGAAGACAGGCUGG